Molecule: ribosomal RNA, 497 nt
Filed under: uncultured bacterium
Lineage: Bacteria
Description: partial 16S ribosomal RNA
Rfam family: Bacterial small subunit ribosomal RNA
Source: RNAcentral
GACGAACGCUGGCGGCGUGCCUAAUACAUGCAAGUUGAGCGCUGAAGGUUGGUACUUGUCCCGACUGGAUGAGCAGCGAACGGGUGAGUAACGCGUGGGGAAUCUGCCUUUGAGCGGGGGACAACAUUUGGAAACGAAUGCUAAUACCGCAUAAAAACUUUAAACACAAGUUUUAAGUUUGAAAGAUGCAAUUGCAUCACUCAAAGAUGAUCCCGCGUUGUACUAGCUAGUUGGUGAGGUAAAGGCUCACCAAGGCGAUGAUACAUAGCCGACCUGAGAGGGUGAUCGGCCACAUUGGGACUGAGACACGGCCCAAACUCCUACGGGAGGCAGCAGUAGGGAAUCUUCGGCAAUGGACGAAAGUCUGACCGAGCAACGCCGCGGGAGUGAAGAAGGGUUUCGGAUCGUAAAACUCUGUUGGUAGAGAAGAACGUUGGUGAGAGUGGAAAGCUCAUCAAGUGACGGUAACUACCCAGAAAGGGACGGCUAACUACGUG